CGUUCAAAUAAAAGAGAAGGGAUGAGAUGCGUUGAGAUAAGGGAAGAAAGAAGAAGAGAUAUCUCAUGCACACAACUAGCGCAUGCCCUCCUUUCUCCAAUUUUUUUUAUCGCACAAAAAAAAUUCUUCCAUGCCCCAAUCACAUGGAUUUCUAUCCUAUUUUGAAUCAAAUUCAAAUAGAAAAAAAUCUGAAAGAAAAAAGAAUUUCAAAUAAGGUGGGGCACCAAUAGAGAAAAACAUCGCUCCUCUUCCCUUCUUGGCAUGAUUUCUAGAGAGAGAGUCCUAGGAGACUUGGACUCUCAAAGUCAUGGUUCGUCUGGUUUAAAUUAGAUUUUAAUCAGGUUCAAAUCAAGUUUGAAACAAAUCAAAUUCGAGAAGGUUGUCAAGCCUGAUCCAAUCAAGCUUGAAAUCC
Molecule: long non-coding RNA, 412 nt
Filed under: Elaeis guineensis (African oil palm)
Lineage: Eukaryota; Viridiplantae; Streptophyta; Magnoliopsida; Arecales; Arecaceae
Description: long non-coding RNA (EGUI_LNC065306)
Source: RNAcentral